Molecule: ribosomal RNA, 253 nt
Filed under: uncultured bacterium
Lineage: Bacteria
Description: partial 16S ribosomal RNA
Rfam family: Bacterial small subunit ribosomal RNA
Source: RNAcentral
GACGAACCGAGCGAACGUUAUUCGGAAUCACUGGGCGUAAAGGGUGCGUAGGCGGUCGGGUAAGUCUGAUGUGAAAUCUCGCAGCUUAACUGCGAAACUGCAUUGGAUACUAUCCGGCUCGAGGAAUGGAGGGGAGACUGGAAUACUUGGUGUAGCAGUGAAAUGCGUAGAUAUCAAGUGGAACACCAGUGGCGAAGGCGAGUCUCUGGACAUUUCCUGACGCUGAGGCACGAAAGCCAGGGGAGCAAACGGG